Molecule: ribosomal RNA, 465 nt
Filed under: uncultured bacterium
Lineage: Bacteria
Description: partial 16S ribosomal RNA
Rfam family: Bacterial small subunit ribosomal RNA
Source: RNAcentral
GACGAACGCUGGCGGCGUGCUUAACACAUGCAAGUCGAACGGAAAGGCCCUGCUUGCAGGGUACUCGAGUGGCGAACGGGUGAGUAACACGUGGGUGAUCUGCCCUGCACUUCGGGAUAAGCCUGGGAAACUGGGUCUAAUACCGGAUAGGAGCCAUUUUUAGUGUGAUGGUUGGAAAGUUUUUUCGGUGUUGGAUGAGCUCGCGGCCUAUCAGCUUGUUGGUGGGGUAAUGGCCUACCAAGGCGGCGACGGGUAGCCGGCCUGGGAGGGUGGACGGCCACAUUGGGACUGAGAUACGGCCCAGACUCCUACGGGAGGCAGCAGGGGGGAAUAUUGCACAAUGGGCGCAAGCCUGAUGCAGCGACGCCGCGUGGGGGAUGACGGCCUUCGGGUUGUAAACUCCUUUCGCUAGGGACGAAGCUUUUUGUGACGGUACCUAGAUAAGAAGCACCGGCUAACUACGUG